UGGCUCAGACAGUAAAGCAUCUGCCUACAAUGCAGGAGACCCGGGUUCGAUCCCUGG
Molecule: transfer RNA, 57 nt
Filed under: Bos taurus (domestic cattle)
Lineage: Eukaryota; Metazoa; Chordata; Mammalia; Artiodactyla; Bovidae
Also listed under: 4 other names
Rfam family: tRNA
About the family: Transfer RNA (tRNA) molecules are approximately 80 nucleotides in length.
Source: Rfam by way of RNAcentral